GAUGAACGCUGACAGCAUGCUUAACACAUGCAAGUCGAUGGGGAAGUGGUGCUUGCACCAUGGCAACCAUGGCGGACGGGUGAGUAACGCGUAAGGGACUUACCUGCAGGACUGGGAUAACAGGGGGAAACUCCUGACAAGACCGGAUAAUGUCAUGGAGCUGCAUGGCUUUAUGAUGAAAGGAGACGCCUGCGGAGAGCCUUGCGUCCUAUUAGCUAGUUGGUGAGGUAAUGGCUCACCAAGGCGAAGAUAGGUAGCCGGCCUGAGAGGGUGGACGGCCACAAGGGGACUGAGAUACGGCCCUUACUCCUACGGGAGGCAGCAGUGGGGAAUAUUGGACAAUGGGGGCAACCCUGAUCCAGCAAUUCUGUGUGCACGAAGAAGGUUUUCGGAUUGUAAAGUGCUUUCAGCAGGGAAGAAGUAAGUGACGGUACCUGCAGAAGAAGCGACGGCUAAAUACGUG
This 463-nucleotide ribosomal RNA is filed under the name uncultured bacterium. Its description in RNAcentral is "partial 16S ribosomal RNA". It matches the Rfam family "Bacterial small subunit ribosomal RNA", at positions 28 to 507 of the family's 1533-position model. The record is from RNAcentral.